RNAcentral lists this ribosomal RNA (785 nucleotides) under Bacillus sp. (in: firmicutes). RNAcentral's name for it is "bacterial SSU rRNA". It matches the Rfam family "Bacterial small subunit ribosomal RNA", at positions 51 to 817 of the family's 1533-position model. The record is from RNAcentral. Lineage: Bacteria; Bacillati; Bacillota; Bacilli; Caryophanales; Bacillaceae.
AUACAUGCAGUCGAGCGGACAGAAGGGAGCUUGCUCCCGGAUGUUAGCGGCGGACGGGUGAGUAACACGUGGGUAACCUGCCUGUAAGACUGGGAUAACUCCGGGAAACCGGAGCUAAUACCGGAUAGUUCCUUGAACCGCAUGGUUCAAGGAUGAAAGACGGUUUCGGCUGUCACUUACAGAUGGACCCGCGGCGCAUUAGCUAGUUGGUGAGGUAACGGCUCACCAAGGCGACGAUGCGUAGCCGACCUGAGAGGGUGAUCGGCCACACUGGGACUGAGACACGGCCCAGACUCCUACGGGAGGCAGCAGUAGGGAAUCUUCCGCAAUGGACGAAAGUCUGACGGAGCAACGCCGCGUGAGUGAUGAAGGUUUUCGGAUCGUAAAGCUCUGUUGUUAGGGAAGAACAAGUGCAAGAGUAACUGCUUGCACCUUGACGGUACCUAACCAGAAAGCCACGGCUAACUACGUGCCAGCAGCCGCGGUAAUACGUAGGUGGCAAGCGUUGUCCGGAAUUAUUGGGCGUAAAGGGCUCGCAGGCGGUUUCUUAAGUCUGAUGUGAAAGCCCCCGGCUCAACCGGGGAGGGUCAUUGGAAACUGGGAAACUUGAGUGCACAAGAGGAGAGUGGAAUUCCACGUGUAGCGGUGAAAUGCGUANNGAUUUGUANGACCACCCCUGGCUAACGCGACUCUCUGGUCUGUANUNGAUGCCUAUGAGCGAAAGUGUGGGGAGCCAACAUGANUACANACUCUGGUCAGUUCUCCUCGCCCUUUCAUUAANCGCU